CAGUCGCCGCGGUAAUACGUAGGGUGCAAGCGUUAAUCGGAAUUACUGGGCGUAAAGCGUGCGCAGGCGGUUUGUUAAGACAGAUGUGAAAUCCCCGGGCUCAACCUGGGAACUGCAUUUGUGACUGGCAAGCUAGAGUCUGGCAGAGGGGGGUGGAAUUCCGCGUGUAGCAGUGAAAUGCGUAGAUAUGCGGAGGAACACCAGUGGCGAAGGCGACUGACUGGACAAGUAUUGACGCUGAGGUGCGAAAGCGUGGGGAGCAAACAGGAUUAGAUACCCGAGUAGUCCCUGUCUCUUAUAC
RNAcentral lists this ribosomal RNA (301 nucleotides) under uncultured bacterium. Its description in RNAcentral is "partial 16S ribosomal RNA". It matches the Rfam family "Bacterial small subunit ribosomal RNA", at positions 509 to 807 of the family's 1533-position model. The record is from RNAcentral.